CCUACGGGAGGCAGCAGUGGGGAAUUUUGGACAAUGGGCGCAAGCCUGAUCCAGCAAUGCCGCGUGCAGGAUGAAGGCCUUCGGGUUGUAAACUGCUUUUGUACGGAACGAAACGGUGAGCUCUAAUACAGUUUGCUAAUGACGGUACCGUAAGAAUAAGCACCGGCUAACUACGUGCCAGCAGCCGCGGUAAUACGUAGGGUGCGAGCGUUAAUCGGAAUUACUGGGCGUAAAGCGUGCGCAGGCGGUGAUGUAAGACAGAUGUGAAAUGCCCGGGCUCAACCUGGGACCUGCAUUUGUGACUGCAUCGCUAGAGUACGGUAGAGGGGGAUGGAAUUCCGCGUGUAGCAGUGAAAUGCGUAGAUAUGCGGAGGAACACCGAUGGCGAAGGCAAUCCCCUGGACCUGUACUGACGCUCAUNCACGAAGACGUGGGAGACAACAGAUAGAUACCUACGUACGUACCGACCGACCGUAACG
Molecule: ribosomal RNA, 479 nt
Filed under: uncultured bacterium
Lineage: Bacteria
Description: bacterial SSU rRNA
Rfam family: Bacterial small subunit ribosomal RNA
Source: RNAcentral